UGAUACUGAGAUUGUUUGUACCAGAGUCCUUUUGUUGGAUACACUUCCCACUCUUCUAGCAACCCAUAUGAAUCAAGAGGAAACCAGGCUGUUUUAAGGUUCUACAUCCUUAUCCAUCUCAGAUCGCCGCUCGUUUCCAUUUGGAGUCAUGUUUCCCUUCAAAACUCAAGACAACUGAGAGUCAGUUCAAGAUGAUCACUGUGGUUGCUGGCUUCCUGCCUUUUCCUGCCUCACUUCUCCACUACUCUGAGAUUGCUUUCUGCACCUUUCUAAAAAACCCUUGCACUUGAAUUCUUCCUCGCACGAGAUAACUUGGAAUCUACUUUCAAGACAGCAAAAAGAUGAUCUGGGUGUGGUCAGGAAGCAGAGGAUACUGGUAGCCUUACACUCUCACUACGCCUACGUCAUUCACCUCACUUCAUCUCAUCAUGUAGGUAUUGUAUCCUCUCACAUCGUCAUGAGAAAGGUGAGCACAACACAACA
This 483-nucleotide long non-coding RNA is filed under the name Vulpes vulpes (red fox). RNAcentral's name for it is "lncRNA (ENSVVUG00000000187.1)". Lineage: Eukaryota; Metazoa; Chordata; Mammalia; Carnivora; Canidae. The record is from RNAcentral.